RNAcentral lists this ribosomal RNA (224 nucleotides) under uncultured bacterium. Its description in RNAcentral is "partial 16S ribosomal RNA". It matches the Rfam family "Bacterial small subunit ribosomal RNA", at positions 116 to 334 of the family's 1533-position model. The record is from RNAcentral.
CGUAGGUAACCUGCCUGGUAGCGGGGGAUAACUAUUGGAAACGAUAGCUAAUACCGCAUAAAAAUUGAUUAUUGCAUGAUAGUCAAUUAAAAGGUGCAAUUGCAUCACUACCAGAUGGACCUGCGUUGUAUUAGCUAGUUGGUGAGGUAAAGGCUCACCAAGGCAACGAUACAUAGCCGACCUGAGAGGGUGAUCGGCCACACUGGGACUGAGACACGGCCCAG